RNAcentral lists this long non-coding RNA (362 nucleotides) under Lynx pardinus (Iberian lynx). Lineage: Eukaryota; Metazoa; Chordata; Mammalia; Carnivora; Felidae. The record is from RNAcentral.
CAAAGGGAAAGGGCAUGACCAACUGGGUAGGCCGAUGAAUAUUUUCCUGAUAGAUGCACAACUUUCCUCAUAACUGUGAUGCUUUAUCCUCUGAUGUUAAGAACGCUGUUUGCAGAAGUAACAUUCCUUUGAACACUCAGCUUUCUGAAAUGGUGUCCUGCCACAAGGACGGAAGUAGGGUAAGUUUGAACAUCAAUGCUGAGUAAUAGCCAAGCAAAUUACAUUCUGUUCUAGCGUCCAACAGUCAGUCAGGUCUUGAAGUAAAUCAUGAAGUAGAAUUAAUAGCAAUUAAAUGCCACCUCUUUUACUACUUUUGAAUUUGGGGGGUCUAUUUUUAGUUGGAUUUGUGCUUACUGGAAAAC